CGGUAAUUCCAGCUCCAAUAGCGUAUACUAAAGUUGUUGCAGUUAAAAAGCUCGUAGUUGGAUUUCUGCGGGGACGGAGCGGCCGGACGCAACUUGCGUCUCGAGCUAGCGCUUUCCCCACAUCCUGCCGCGAACCGUGCUACCAUUAGCUUGGUGGCGCUGGGGAUCGGCUCGAUUACUUUGAGAAAAAUAGAGUGUUCAAAGCAGGCCACACGCCUUGAAUAAGUUAGCAUGGAAUAAUGACUAAGGACUUCGGUUCUAUUUUGUUGGUGUUCGGGACUGAAGUAAUGAUUGAUAGGGACAGUUGGGGCGGUCUGUAUUCCAAAGCGAGAGGUGAAAUUCUUAGACCUUCGGAAGACAAACAGCUGCGAAAGCGUUCCGCAAGGAUGUUCCCUUUGAUCAAGAACGAAAGUUGGGGGAUCGAAGACGAUCAGAUACCGUCGUAGUCUCAACUAUAAACUAUACCAGCUAGGGAUCGGCCAACGUUUAACUUUAUCGACUUGGUCGGCACCUUAUGAGAAAUCAAAGCAUCUGGGUUCCGGGGGGAGUAUGGUCGCAGGGCUGAAACUUAAGGGAAUUGACGGAAGGGCACCACCAGGCGUGGAGCCUGUGGCUUAAUUUGACUCAACACGGGAAAACUUACCAGGUCCAGACAUAGGAAGGAUUGACAGAUUGAUAGCUCUUUCUUGAUUCUGUGGGUGGUGGUGCAUGGCCGUUUUUAGUCGGUGAAGUGAUUUGUCUGCUUAAUUGCGUUAACGGACGAGACCCCAGCCUGCUAAAUAGCGCGGCCGAGCUUUGCUCGGUGCGAGCUUCUUAGAGGGACCAUGAUGCGCGAUAGCACAAGGAAGUUUGGGGCAACAACAGGUCUGUGAUGCCCUUAGAUGUUCUGGGCCGCACACGGGCUACACUGGCGCCUGCAACGAGCAUAUCAGCUGGCCCGAGAGGGUCUUGGCUAAUCUUUGGAACCGGCGCCGUGCUUGGGAUUGACCAUUGCAAUUGUUGGUCAUGCAACGAGGAAUGCCUUGUAAACGCGAGUCAUCAGCUCGCAUUGAAUACGUCCCUGCCCUUUGUACACACCGCCCGUCGCUCCUACCGAUGAAUGUUCCGAUGAAAUUUUCGGAGAGCGCCAGAGAACGGGGCUCUGCCUUGCAGAUCUGGAGGCUCAAAGUCACUUAAAUCUGAACAUUUCGAGGAAGGAGAAGUCGUAACAAGGUAGCCG
This 1219-nucleotide ribosomal RNA is filed under the name uncultured Rhizaria. Its description in RNAcentral is "SSU rRNA". It matches the Rfam family "Eukaryotic small subunit ribosomal RNA", at positions 577 to 1805 of the family's 1831-position model. The record is from RNAcentral.